RNAcentral lists this ribosomal RNA (396 nucleotides) under uncultured bacterium. RNAcentral describes it as "bacterial SSU rRNA". It matches the Rfam family "Bacterial small subunit ribosomal RNA", at positions 491 to 890 of the family's 1533-position model. The record is from RNAcentral.
GGUCGGCUAAUUACGUGCCAGCAGCCGCGGUAAUACGUAAGGACCGAGCGUUGUCCGGAAUUAUUGGGCGUAAAGGGUACGUAGGCGGCUUUUUAAGUUUGACGUGAAAGCCCGGGGCUUAACUCCGGCAAGCGUUGAAAACUGGAGGGCUUGAGUGAUGGAAGGGACAGUGGAAUUCCUGGUGUAGUGGUGAAAUGCGCAGAGAUCAGGAAGAAUACCAGUGGCGAAGGCGACUGUCUGGACAUUAACUGACGCUGAGGUACGAAAGCGUGGGGAGCAAACAGGAUCAGAUACCCUGGUAGUCCACGCUGUAAACGAUGAGUGCAAGGUGUUGGGGGUCAAACCUCGGUGCCGCCGUUAACACAGUAAGCACUCCGCCUGGGGAGUACGUACGCA